Molecule: ribosomal RNA, 484 nt
Filed under: uncultured bacterium
Lineage: Bacteria
Description: partial 16S ribosomal RNA
Rfam family: Bacterial small subunit ribosomal RNA
Source: RNAcentral
GAUGAACGCUGGCGGCGUGCUUAACACAUGCAAGUCGAACGGUGAAGCAGGAGCUUGCUCUUGUGGAUCAGUGGCGAACGGGUGAGUAACACGUGAGCAACCUGCCCCUGACUCUGGGAUAAGCGCUGGAAACGGCGUCUAAUACUGGAUAUGUGAUGUGACCGCAUGGUCUGCAUCUGGAAAGAAUUUCGGUUGGGGAUGGGCUCGCGGCCUAUCAGCUUGUUGGUGAGGUAAUGGCUCACCAAGGCGUCGACGGGUAGCCGGCCUGAGAGGGUGACCGGCCACACUGGGACUGGGACACGGCCCAGAGUCCUACGGGAGGCAGCAGUGGGGAAUAUUGCACAAUGGGCGGAAGCCUGAUGCGGCAACGCCGCGUGAGGGAUGACGGCCUUCGGGUUGUAAGCCUCUUUUAGCAGGGAAGAAGCGAAAGUGACGGUACCUGCAGAAAAAGCACCGGCUAACUACGUGCCAGCCGCCGCGGUAA